This 443-nucleotide ribosomal RNA is filed under the name uncultured bacterium. Its description in RNAcentral is "partial 16S ribosomal RNA". It matches the Rfam family "Bacterial small subunit ribosomal RNA", at positions 338 to 795 of the family's 1533-position model. The record is from RNAcentral.
CCUACGGGAGGCAGCAGUGGGGAAUAUUCCGCAAUGGAGGAAACUCUGACCCAGCAACGCCGCGUGAGUGAUGAAGGUCUUCGGAUCGUAAAGCUCUUUAAUCGGGGACGAAGAUACUGACUGUAACCUAAGCAUAAGUUUCCGCUACCUACUGGCCAGCCCACGCGGGAAUACGUAGGAGGCAAGCUUUAUCCGCAAUGACUGGGCGCAAAGGGCGCGUAGGUGGUUUGUCAAGUUGGUAGCGAAAUUCCGAGGCUCAACCUCGGUGCGACUACCGAAACUGUAGAACUUGAGUGCAGGAGAGGUGAAUGGAAUUCCAAGUGUAGCGGUGGAAUGCGUAGAGAUAGGGAGGAACACCAGCGGCGAAGGCGAUUCUCUGGACUGUAACUGACACUGAGGCGCGAAAGCGUGGGGAGCAAACAGGAUUAGAUACCCUGGUAGUC